This 201-nucleotide ribosomal RNA is filed under the name uncultured bacterium. RNAcentral describes it as "partial 16S ribosomal RNA". It matches the Rfam family "Bacterial small subunit ribosomal RNA", at positions 1300 to 1500 of the family's 1533-position model. The record is from RNAcentral.
GCAGUCUGCAACUCGAGUGCAUGAAGCUGGAAUCGCUAGUAAUCGCGGAUCAGAAUGCCGCGGUGAAUACGUUCCCGGGUCUUGUACACACCGCCCGUCACACCAUGGGAGCCGACAACGCCCGAAGUCAGUGACCUAACCGAGAGGGAGGAGCUGCCGAAGGCGGGGUUGGUAACUGGGGUGAAGUCGUAACAAGGUACC